This is a long non-coding RNA of Carassius carassius (crucian carp), 831 nucleotides long. RefSeq lists it as uncharacterized. The transcript is spliced from 3 exons. The record is from RefSeq and is a predicted model, not a curated record. NCBI's taxonomy places the organism in Eukaryota, Metazoa, Chordata, Actinopteri, Cypriniformes, Cyprinidae.
UAUCUUUAACUUAUAUUGAAAAGUGACAAAAAUGAGACAGAUGCCAGAGAAGAUUAUCACGUGUUAAUAAAUGAAUGUCAUUUGUCAAACCCGGAUGCUUAAACAGAUGCGCUUAAUGUGAGAUUUGGCCACCAGAUCUGUUACAUUUGACAAAGUUAAGACUCUGGAGGUCCACUUUAGGAAGGAGAUAUUUGAGUGAAGGACUUUGAUGGGCGACCAUGCAUAGUGUGCCUGUGGCAUAAGUAUAAAAUUACAUUAGCUGAGGGUCUCUAUUAGGCAGUGGACCCUUCUGUGAAACCCCUGAAACCAACCUGGUCCUCUAAAUGUGUUAAACAAAGAGUCCACACAGUGACGCCAUCUAAUGAAGACAUGUUCCUCACUUUAAAUGACUCACCAGGACCCAUUGACUCUGAUUACUAUCAAACUGAGAAAUAUAGAAACACUUUUCUGAAAGACUGGUCAAAGAACACAAAGGGACAUCACAGGAAGAGAUAUGAGAUAAGAUGAGUGUCUUAGGUUUCAGCUGAUCAACAAAUGUGUUCUGCUGAGUUUGUUUUUAGCGGUAACUGCAGGAAAAUCUAGUUAAGCUAUAAAGCUUGUGUAGUUGGUUUGUAACAGAUCUAAGAUGGUCAACCUACCCAGUUAUGUCUGUAGUACACUUAGGAUGUUCUAAACUACUUCUUAUCCUAUUAUUGAUAAAGGUUGGCACAAUUAUAUUUAAAUUAACGUGUUACUAAAAAUUAUUAUAAAGUUAUAGGAAAUUAAAAAGUGAAAGAAUGUACUGUUAUAUUCCCUGUUUAAAAUAAAGAAUGAACACAGUAUGUGCUUAGA